This 632-nucleotide ribosomal RNA is filed under the name uncultured eukaryote. Its description in RNAcentral is "SSU rRNA". It matches the Rfam family "Eukaryotic small subunit ribosomal RNA", at positions 610 to 1260 of the family's 1831-position model. The record is from RNAcentral.
UUGUUGCAGUUAAAAAGCUCGUAGUUGAACUUUAGGCAAGGUGGCCUGGUCUCCCAAUGGGUGUACUGGGCUCGCCGCGCCUCACCUUCGGGGAACUAGUCGUGCUUCGGUGCGCUAGGGAACCGAGCCUUACUUUGAAGAAAUUAGAGUGUUUAAAGCAGGCUUACGCUUGAAUACAUCAGCAUGGAAUAACAUGAUAGGACUUUGGUUCUAUUUUGUUGGUUUGAGGACCAAAGUAAUGAUUAAUAGGGCCAGUCGGGGGCAUUAGUAUUCUAUAGUCAGAGGUGAAAUUCUUGGAUUUAUAGAAGACUAACUAAUGCGAAAGCAUUUGCCAAGGAUGUUUUCAUUAAUCAAGAACGAAAGUUAGGGGAUCGAAGACGAUUAGAUACCGUCGUAGUCUUAACCAUAAACUAUGCCGACUAGGGAUCGGUGGAUGUCGCUUUUGACUCCAUCGGCACCUUACGAGAAAUCAAAGUUUUUGGGUUCUGGGGGGAGUAUGGUCGCAAGGCUGAAACUUAAAGGAAUUGACGGAAGGGCACCACCAGGAGUGGAGCCUGCGGCUUAAUUUGACUCAACACGGGAAAACUCACCAGGUCCGGACACGGGAAGGAUUGACAGACUGAUAGCUCUUU